Molecule: long non-coding RNA, 5895 nt
Organism: Passer domesticus (house sparrow)
Lineage: Eukaryota; Metazoa; Chordata; Aves; Passeriformes; Passeridae
Exons: 2
Source: RefSeq, a predicted model, not a curated record
UAAGUUGAGCUGAAUGUCUGAGAGGUCAUUGCUGUGGUUGGCAGGCACUCUGGGUCAUCGAUGCUUAGAGACACAAGAGAAACAUUCUGCAGUUCCAUUGGGCUGUGGCACAUCAGAGAUUGCACAUUUUUAACUAUUGCUCUGCUCUUUUGGAGCCAUUCUCGGAAACCGAGAAUUUGGCAAUCGCAUUUCCAAGGGUUGUCGUCAAGGACAACUUCUUCCAGCUCAGGGCAAGGAUGAAGCUCUCCCAUAGCAAUCCCACAGACAGAGUGUUGGGAACAACCCCCUUCACUUAAAGAGAAACCAGGAAGGACAGCAGAGCUCCUCAGGCAUCUGAACUGCUGACAAGAACACACCACAAUGGACCCAAAACAGCUCCAGGUCCAAACCAGCUACUGCAUUAAAAAAAAAGCCAGAAGAGCAAAAGGGAGUGCUUUAAAAAAAAAAUAAAUAAAUUAUUCAGCUUCAGAGUACUGAAGUCUGGUAAAAUCUCUAACUCUCCCUCAGGAAGGGAAGGACGUGGCAUUUAGGGCUAUCAACAGCCAGCAACACAGUGCCACAAAACAAGAUCUCAGUGGGCUUUUCACAACUCAUUGAAUGAGACAUAGGCAGCACCAAAAAAUAGCAUAAGAUUUCACUCUUCCAAAGAUCUUUCACAUGUCAAGCAAGAAUCUUUCAGAGAAUCUCACCCUCCUAGUAAUCCUCCCUACUCCAAAACUCUGUGUCAUAAGCCAGUGAUGCUUUUACCUUAAUAAAUGUGUAACUCAGCCUGUCCCUGAUCCUACCUAUCCCCACGAGCAGAACCCUCCAUCCAGAAACACAUUAAGAAAAUUUCUGUUUCAAGCCCUGACUUGAACCAAAUGGAUGGAAAAAUACCCAAUUUGUUAUGUUAGAAACUGCAAAUGCAGGUCCCUUGGAAGCUAUGACUACAGGCCACGCUGUAAAAUCAGAAACAGACUAACACUAUCCUGCAGGUCCAUGAUGACUGUUUUCCUGGUCUUACAGCAAAAGAUAAGAGUAUACAAGAAGACAAGGUUAGAUGCUCAGAAAUGCUAGAAAGCACUAGUUUUGACAAACAAACAGCAAAAUGGUAGACAUUCUUUGCAAGAUAUGAAGGCUGUAAGUGCUGCCACAAGAACUGGAAAAGCCUAUGGGUCUCAAACAUCUAGAGCUGCUAACAGCAUUAAAAAAAAAUUAAAGAGAUUAACAGUACAAAAUACAGUAAUACCCACAAUAAAGAUCAAAAUUAUACAUUCCCAUGCCUUAAAAUUCUCUCAAACCCUCACACAAGACAGCUGGCAUUCCAGAAAAGGCACCAGCCUAGCUGGUCAUUUACCAAUAAAUGUUUUAUCUACAGCCUCUUUCCUUUUUAGCUCCCCCCCAAUAUUUCUCAAGACUACAAAAGGAUGCCAGAGGCAAUACAUUAAUACUGUAACUAUAUCAGAAGUCUCAAAUCAGUUUUGAACUUACAGAACACUGAGCACAUGUAUUGCUUGCAGUGGUGCUUACCUCUUUUACUGUCUUGCAAGUUCCUAAACUCAUACAAGCAAGAAAAAGAAAUUUUGAGCUGUACCUUAGAAACUUAUCUGCUUUUUAAAGCAACUUACUAGGAGCAGAGCAGGCAAUCAGGCUUCACCAUGACAGUGCACUUUAAAUGGGAAGUAAAAGAGCAGAACGCAUCCUCUAGAUAACACUUCCACCCACAUGUGCCUGGUUACUGAGACAGGCCAGAGGCCAAACAAUGUUUGAAGCUUCAGAGCAGAUUUUUGCCUACAAUUGUUCAAGCAACCAACUUCCAUAGGUUGCAUGUAACUCCAAAAGUAGGGCUUGAAGCCGCUCACAUAACAGGAGAAAGUUUUAAGUCACACACCCAACAGCAGAAAACCCACUUGUAGCUUCUUUGGCAGUGAUAUUGGAGAAUGUGCUUCAGCCAACCCAAAGCAAAUCUGAUUGCAGUCAGAAUCUACAUUUCAGUGUGAGAUGUGAUCAGAAAUUUCAAAUUUGUCCCAGGUCUGCUAAAUAGGUUUUGAAGGAGUGGACACAUCCACUUUAAACCAAGUGCUCCUACCUUCACAAAGCUGCUCUGACUUUUAAUAAUUCUUGCAGGAUUGGAGUCAAAGCAAUUUCAGUAAGGAAUGAAGGGGCUUUUUACUUAGUGCUUUGGCUAAGCAUUCCAAGGUUGACACAUUUAGUUUCUGUUUUUCCUCAAAGUCUUCUGGAGUGGCAGGCCAACAAAACCUAAAACCUGUAAGAUUCUGAAAGAGAAAAGCUAAGUUGUAAAAAUAGAAGCUUGAAAUGGAAAGAUUAAGUUUUUUGUUAUUAAGUAAAACGGUAUUUUAAGUAUCUUGUCUUCAAGUUUCAAAUAAUGUGCUCUGCCAAUGACUGUUUCAAUGGAAGGUGAGCCAGAGGACAGAAAAGAUGUCUUCAUUUCCACAUGAUUUUUCUGAAGAUGACUCUGACAAUGGUGACAGCUCAGAUCAUGCCUCCCACAUGUCCAAACAGAAGGAACAUCUGAAUAACCAAAGGUGGAAACAAGCUGCUAUCACAUGUACAGGUAAAGCUGCAGUCAGUGUGAUCCCCCUGCAGACACAGCAGGCACCCCUCCCACCCCACCUGCAGAAAUGCAGAGCCACGGAACAGCAUCCCAUGACAGCAGAGGGAGUAAGCCUGUGUUCUUCAACAAGCUUUACAAGUAAUUCUAUAAAGAAUAAUUAAAACAAUUUCAUUAAACUAAUGAGAAGAGUUAAAAUAUCCGUUCAUUUUAAUUUUAUUUUCAAAGAGCUUCAGUCACAAAAAUGAUUUACAAGUCUAUUUACAAUUCUAUUGUACAGUUAUUUAUGUAUGCCUCUUGACAACAGGGUACCAUUCUAGAGCAGCAAUACAUAUUUUAAAUACAAAGAUGUAGUAUCAUUUCAGAUUUAAAAAUAAAAGGAAGCUGAGCUUCUAGAGAGUGCUGUAAUGAUGAACAUUUUAAUCUGUGUUAGGCUCGAGGAAUUAAUGACAAACUAAGUAGUUUCUGGUUCACAUAAUUAUUAAACAAGCUGCAGUUUGUUGAAAAUAGUUUUAAAAACCUGAAGCUUUACUGUAUAUAAAAUCAACAUAUUCAAGACUCUAAAAAUUGUCAAAAACCCACAGCUUUCCCUUAGACAUACAAAACCCUAAGUUUACAAUUCAGAAUUUCAUGGGAGAAAUCCUACAGGACUUGAGCUCUCUCAUUUUGUGAUGACCAACAUAAGCAUUAAAAAUUUGCAGCAUAAAAAGGACUCCACAUCUGCUUAGUAUUAUACUGCAUAUACACAUAUACAGUACAGGAUUAUUUACCCAAUUUGGGAUGACUGUUCAGCACAACCUUCAUGAAGAAAGAAAAAAAUAAAUAGAAUUAAAAAUCCAACAACUUUUUAAAAAGUGCAACAGUAAGAGUUUCCAAUUUAAAGUUAUGAUGAAUAUGGACAGUCAGUUCUGUGGGUUUUUUCAGCCGCUUCUAUUCAAGCAUUAUUUGCAGCAUUUUCUUUUUACAGUAGAUUUAGUUCUAUAGUACAUUAAACUACAGUUACUACUAAUUGACUCUGAAGGGAAAGGAAGGAAAAAACUUUAAAAAUAACCCUGAGGGAUAUACAAUUUCAUGAUCUUGUAAUUUAUUUCUAAAAAGUAACAUUUAUUAUUUAGCAACUGCUUUUCUGGAUAGACCAGUCCUUUAAGUAUGUGCAUAAAUAAUAUUUAAAAAUCAGUAAUAUUUACAAAUCCUAAUACAUCAAAAUAAAAUACGUACAGAUUGAAGUCUGCAUACACAAAUAAUUUAAUAAUAAAUCAAACUCCUCAACAUAAGGCCAAAAUAUACAGCAGGAAGGAAAUGUCUACCCAGUAUCUAGUGGAGCUCACUAACUUGGUCUGUUCACCUGAAUUUAGAUUUCCAAGAUGAACACUGAAAGAGAUUUUUUUUCACUACAAAAUGAAUUUCAUCUUACUUAAAAACAGAAACUGAAUACACUAGUGAAGAUCUAGUUUGCUGCAUUUCUGAAAACCAGAAAAACUAAACUACUCAAAAUGAGAAAAAUUAUAGGUGGUCAAAUUCAGCUCUUGGGCAGGAAGGCAUAAAUCCCAAUAAUUGCAGAAAAUGCAAAAGCUUAUUUUGUGGCUGAACUUGCAAUAACAAGAUGGAUUCUCAGAAAAGCUGAUUUAUUAUUCUUGACUAAGCGUCAGAGCUCAAGCAUGCAACCUCAGGAACAUUUACCAACCCUGAGCGCAGACCUGGAGGAAACAAGCUCCAUUUGCAAAACAUUCAAGUUUGCUACGCUCAUGAGCCAUUAGUCACUCGGCUAAGUGGAGACACUUGGCAAUUUCUGUCUCAGUAAGAGCUCCCUAAAAUGUUCUCUGAAGACAAGCCCACCUUAAUGAGCCAUUUUCCUCCUCACUUUCCAGGUAAGUCUAACAAACUAGAAUAAGACUGAAAAACCAGCUUCAGAAACCAAACAAGCCAAGAGAAAUUAUCAGUCUAGGAAAGUAUUAAGCAAAAGCAUAUAAAAGGGAAAGACAUAAAUAUUUCCUUUCAGUUCUCAUGAAACAGCAAAUCUAAAAUGGUCAAUGAAAUGGAAAGCAGAAGCUUAUGCGUUUAAGGAUAAGUCACAGCUCCCAGGUCCAAGAUGCAUAGCUUCACAAUAUUUUUCAACUAAAAUAUUAUUUUCGUUUAGAUUUGAAUACUACUUACGCAGCUAAGAAUUAUUCUUCAUCAGUUAUUCCAUGCUACAAAGAUUUUGUAAAAUCAACAUCGGCAGAAAUUAGCCACCUGACUCAGGUUCAUGACUAAUUAAUGUAUCCAAUGUUUGCAGACCCUUUAAAAGCCACCAAUGUUGUUCAAUGUUUAUGACCUUAUGAAGCCAGGAUUAGAAGAACAUUGCUCUGUUGAAUGAAUGCUAAGAAAACCACUUCCCCCUUUCCCCCUGCUCCACUCCUCAAAAACAAACAACAACAACAACAGAAAUCAGGAAAAGAGUUGACAGCUGGACUGGAAGAUAGUACACCCAUAUGCAUAUUAUUUAGGAGGAGCAAUAACUUCAACAACCAAGUUCUAGGAAAAGGUCUUCCAAACCAUUUAGCACCACUUUUAAAUUCCCAGUUGGCACAGUAUAUUCAACACUGCAGAAACCACAACAUGAUUGACAUUAACACGGUUAAUGGUUGAUGAUUUUGAAGGUCUUUUCCAACCUUAAUGAUUCUAUGAGCAGCAGGGCACACUGUCCAUACUGUCUUACAGAACAGCACAAGGGAAUUAGGCCUGAUCUGAAAAAUCCUGCUUAUUAAAACAAGGCUGGAAUGGAAUUGUCUCCACAGGAAUUUAAAAGAACAAAACAAAACCCGAAAAAAGAAAAAGAAAAAAAAAAGGAAAAAGAGAAAGAAAAAAAUCCCUAACAUCAAAACCUCAAAUUCCAUCAUCAGAAUAUACACACUUCAAAACAAUCCCAGCCGGCCAGUGAGCCUCAUUCCACAACUACUCCAAAGGAUCUCUCCAGAAUCCUGACUUCCUCAGACCAGAGGUCUCCUCCCAAGCUUGGAGGUGUCUGGACCAGUUAGUUGCCCCAGUCAAAAAUAGACUGAUCAAGACUCAAUUUAUCAUCUUCCCAAAGACACUAAGGAAGACUUUUCCAAACAUGUACAAAGUCAACAAUGGUUUAGAGAUAAGUAAUUUGUAGUUAAAAAAAAAAAAACAAAAAAAAAACCCAAAAAAAGUUUUAAGCCUUGCAAGUCAAAGUGCUGUCUGCCUCUACUUCUUUGUAGACCUAUUUUUCUAGUGGUCUUGUGUUCUGAUACUGCCUCAUGGCAAAAUUAUGUAUGGCUACCCCUAGUGCUUAAGCAGCAUUAGUGGUGAUACAUGCUUUUAUUUUUUUCAUAUUUUUUUUU